Cercocebus atys (sooty mangabey) is the source of this 2968-nucleotide long non-coding RNA. RefSeq lists it as uncharacterized. The record is from RefSeq and is a predicted model, not a curated record. The transcript is spliced from 2 exons. NCBI's taxonomy places the organism in Eukaryota, Metazoa, Chordata, Mammalia, Primates, Cercopithecidae.
AGCCCGGGGCGGCGGCGCUGCUCAACCUCGGCGGCAGCAGCGGCGGCGCUGGAAGGUGCUGGUCUCAAGCCCAUGCCCGUCCAUGCAGGCCCGUGUAGCAGAUGGGGCGCCACCACCGCCGCAGCAAGCAGCACGCCGCGGGCGCAGCCAGUCGGCGGCGGCAACAACGGGGCGCAAGGGCAUCGUGGCGGCCGGAGGCGGCGGGCAGGGAAAGAGGGGCGGAAGAGAAGACACAAAGACCGUGAGCGACUGCUGAGACGAGUCCCGAGCGCGCCGGCACCCCGGCCCCAGCCAGCGUGGGCUCGGCGGGCGUGGACCUCCAAGCGGCUCGCCCAGCCCUAGUUAGCGGCAGCCACCGGCGGCCCGGAUAUCUCUGCGCGGCAGCCCCAGCGGUCAAUCAAUCUCAGUCCCGCACUGCCGUCCCGCCCCGCCCUGUGCCCGCCAAUCUGCGACGCCAUCAUCCCCCGCCGCGUCCCUCCCUUCCUCCCCAUUGGUUGUGACCGCACGUCCGCCCGACUCAGCCUGCCAAUCGCAGGACGCAGAGGGCCCUCUCCCCCGCCUGCUCAGUGUAAUUCGAGUUCCGUGUCCAUCGAGACUGCAAGUCCUCUCCUGUGCCGCAACCUUCCUCGCACUCCCUUUCCUCUCCCCUCUACCACCUUCCGCGAUUUACUGUUUCCUUGCGCCCAGUAGAAAUGGGCGACCGCAACUCUCACUCCGGCCGGCGUUAUAAAGGUACCAGCCUUUGACCUCUGCUUGAAUUAAUGUGAUCCGAUUCAUCUUCCCUCCAAGUUUUUUUUUUUUUUUUUUAAUUUAAUUACCCUUCCCCGCCCUGGCCCGGCCAACUUCAGCUCCACCUCCUUGAAGGAAGCUGGCGCUUUUACGGAGCGCCGCGCGGCAGGUCCCCUUUUAGCCAAUCACAUCUGCGGAACAGCGUUCCGAACCGUUUGCGGGUGUCUGGUAAAGCAAGCUCGGGGCAGUGUUGGAAAUCUGAAUGUCACCCGCGGUCCUGAGCAGAUAGAAUGGGCUGGGAAGGUACCCGUGAACUCCCGGCGGAAUUCGCUGGCAGCUGUGCGAGGCUCAGGUGUUCUAGUUUCUUUGACAUUUCCCUUCCUGAAAGCGGCAAGGAGAGGUCUAAGAGUGGGCAAACUUCAACGUUCGGUUACAGUGUAAUUAAUGAGAGUGGUGGGUUUUUAUGCAGUGUAAUUAUGCCACGAUUUGUUGUUGCUCAGUGACUUUUUCACAGAUUUCUACAGAUUAUUUCAAUUUUCCGCAAAUUUCUACAGAUUAAUUCAAUGGCAGCUCACUUCCUCCUUUUAUGAUUGGAUAGGUCCGAAAGUGAGGAAAAAGCCAAUUGUCUGCAAAGAAAGAGGCUGCCAAGUGGAGACAGAAAAGCAGUUAUGAGACUGGUGAUAGAUUCCAAUUUGUUAUCAGUAGGUGUGAAGUGGUAUCUAAUCCCAAGAAUGACCUCAAGGCUGAGAGACACUUGAUACUGCCCUUGCCUUUGCCUUUCCCCAAACAGCACAGGACCGCCAUUUAAAAUCCACUAACAUCCAAAUCGUAGUUGGCAACUCUACACGCUACAUUACUCAGAAUCUCUAAUUAGGAAUUUCGUAUCAACCACGGACAUGCUGAUAUUCCACACAUGUUUAAAUGUGCUAAUCAAUGGACUAAGAUAAUUGAGGGGCAAACCUUCGGUCUCACCAGCUCACUUCAUUAUAGACACAUUGUGAAUUGCCCAAACCACUAUGUCCCCAACGAAGGAUGCCUAUCUGUUUUUACUGUAACUUUUCAUUAGUUACUUAUUACAUACUAUGAUGACUUACGGGGUAAACACACCUUUCACUACCCACGAUAUAAUCCAAGCCUGUGUAUAUCCAUAAUAUGCUUAAUAAUAGCUUCACAGUUGCCUGGAGAAAUGACUUUUGGGGAGGAAGGUAUAUGACAUUUUUAGAUAAUGCUGUGGAUUAAAUAUUAUUAGAGCAAAAAUUUACUAUCUUGCAAUUACUUCAUAUAACUAAUGAGGUACAGUUCAUGACAUACUAAGAAGCAUCUUAAAGUAAUCAAAUACUGAUUUUCAAAGUAUUUGGCUAACAAGGACUAAAAUUUUUUUUCUCUUAAUCCAAGAUUUAAUUCGACCCCUAUACAAGAAACACCUCACUUUAUUGAUCAUACUUCAAAACAUAUACUCAAUAGUUAAGGAUCAAUAAUUUCUGUUUGGUUUGGGUCUUUCCACUCGUGACUUUAUCAUGUUUUUACUCCCCUCCCCCCAUAUCCUGUUCCUUAAGUACACGGGUGCUCUAGAUUUUCCUAUCAAUAGAGGGCGUCCUCGAGUCAUUGUAUACCCUGGUGUCGUUAAACGGAACUGUUCUUCAGAGGAAAAACUUCAUCUCUAAGGCGCUUUAUUGCUCCUCUGUUGUAAAAUUUGACAAGCUCGAGAUUUAUAAGCCUAACAAUUCACUUUCUAUUGCUGCAUAAGUGUUCACCCGCUAAAGGAAAAUGCUAAUUUUCACAAUUAAACCGCAAGGUGGUUCCUAUUUUCAAGACAUAGGUCAGUUGACACACUCGCGGGUAAAUUCGUACUGUUCGCAAGAGCAGGAAUCAGCUUGGAAAGCAAGAGUGUAGUGAAUAGUAGCUUAUAGCGCAGCCACUCCUCAAUCCCGUGAGCUGCAAGUUACAAAGGAUUUUAGAUUCUACAAAGAAAAAUCGGGGAGGGAGGUAGAAAACAAACAUAAAAUCGGUGACUUAUACAAGUUUUAUGUUUUAAUCAGAAAAAAAUCAUGAAGUGACUGAUGAGUGGUGCAACUCACACAUCCACCCUGUUUCUUGCCACUGGUACUCCUUCUCCCUUCCUCUUUGUUUUCAGGAAGGAAGGAGGAGACCUGAACAGUACAUCCAGAGAAUCCAGCAAAGCAUACCACGGUAUGAACGUGCAAGUGCACAGAAUUAAAACACAUGUCAGAAACACUAA